Long non-coding RNA from Amphimedon queenslandica, 336 nucleotides. RefSeq lists it as uncharacterized. The record is from RefSeq and is a predicted model, not a curated record. The transcript has 2 exons. NCBI's taxonomy places the organism in Eukaryota, Metazoa, Porifera, Demospongiae, Haplosclerida, Niphatidae.
UUUGAUAAGAACUUCAUCAUUUUAGCAGUUUCAGAACAGUAUCUACUUGAGCUGACCAUAACUUCAAGAUUUAUGUGUGAAUGUGAUUCAGAACAAUAACAUCUUAUAAUGGAUCCUUUAAGAAAUAAUUAUAAUAAAUUCAUAAGUUUUUAAUAACACAGUGAUAUUAUACCUUUAACACAAUAGCAAACUGCUGCAGCAGCUGAUAUAUGAACUGAAUAUUUCAAACUUUGAUUGAAUAGGAAUAACAAAAGAAUUUUUAUUUUACCACGAGAAAUGAAAGUAUAACUGUCUCUAUUGCAACACAUUAAUGCUCUGAAUUUUUAUGUAGACAGC